Long non-coding RNA from Amphimedon queenslandica, 287 nucleotides. RefSeq lists it as uncharacterized. The transcript has 3 exons. Lineage: Eukaryota; Metazoa; Porifera; Demospongiae; Haplosclerida; Niphatidae. The record is from RefSeq and is a predicted model, not a curated record.
AGUGCUCCAUAUCAAAGGAUGGCAUGGGAGACUCUUAAUAAGAGUAUUAAUGGUCUGAUUAACAAGGUCAGUGUGUCAAAUAUUGCCAACAUUGUCAGGGAGUUAGUACAAGAAAAUUUAGUCCAUGGGUGAGGAUUAUUGGCACUUGCAGUCAUUACAGCUUAGUCAGCCUCACCCACCUUUACUAAGGUGUACGCUGCACUUGCAGUCAUUAAUGUAAAAUUUUCUCAAAUCAAGGAGCUAAUUACUAAGAGACUGAUUAUUUGUUUUCAUAAAGCCUUUGCAAG